Molecule: ribosomal RNA, 300 nt
Filed under: uncultured Lactobacillus sp.
Lineage: Bacteria; Bacillati; Bacillota; Bacilli; Lactobacillales; Lactobacillaceae
Description: bacterial SSU rRNA
Rfam family: Bacterial small subunit ribosomal RNA
Source: RNAcentral
CGCACUCGGUGCCCGCAGCCGGUGUAACACGUCGGGGGCGAGCGUUGUCCGGUGUUAUUGGGCGUAAAGAGCGCGUAGGCGGUGUGUCGCUUCGGCCGUGAAAACCUGCAGUUUAACUGUGGGCGUGCGGUCGAUACGGGCAUCACUGGAGUUCGGCAGGGGAGACUGGAAUUCCUGGUGUAGCGGUGAAAUGCGCAGAUAUCAGGAGGAACACCGGUGGCGAAGGCGGGUCUCUGGGCCGAUACUGACGCUGAGGAGCGAAAGCGUGGGGAGCGAACAGGAUUAGAUACCCGUGUAGUC